AUGCCAUGGUGAGGAAAAAUCCUUAACAGCUCUUUAACCCUCUCCCAUGCAUCAGGAACAACUUCGUCGUCCAUUUGUUUAAGAAGACAAAUUUCAUUUAUGGACUU
Small nucleolar RNA from Cynara cardunculus var. scolymus (artichoke), 107 nucleotides. Lineage: Eukaryota; Viridiplantae; Streptophyta; Magnoliopsida; Asterales; Asteraceae. The record is from RefSeq and is a predicted model, not a curated record.